Molecule: ribosomal RNA, 1234 nt
Filed under: metagenome
Description: bacterial LSU rRNA
Rfam family: Bacterial large subunit ribosomal RNA
Source: RNAcentral
AUCCUAAGGCCAGCGAGAGAACUAUUGUUAAGGAACUCGGCAAAAUGACCCCGUAACUUAGGGAGAAGGGGUGCCUGUCUAUGACAGGCCGCAGAGAAUAGGCCCAAGCGACUGUUUACCAAAAACACAGGUUUCUGCUAAGUCGCAAGACGAUGUAUAGGAGCUGACGCCUGCCCGGUGCUGGAAGGUUAAGGGGAUCUGUUAGAGCAAUCGAAGCAGUGAACUUAAGCCCCAGUAAACGGCGGCCGUAACAAUAACGGUCCUAAGGUAGCGAAAUUCCUUGUCGGGUAAGUUCCGACCCGCACGAAAGGCGUAACGAUUUGGGCACUGUCUCAACAAUAGACUCGGUGAAAUUGUAAUCCCGGUGAAGAUGCCGGGUACCUGCGACAGGACGGAAAGACCCCAUGGAGCUUUACUGUAGCUUGACGUUGGGUCUUGGUACUACAUGUACAGGAUAGGUGGGAGACUAUGAAGCAUGGACGCCAGUCUGUGUGGAGUCAUCCUUGGGAUACCACCCUUGUAGUACUGGGAUCCUAACCAUAGGCCUUGAAUCAGGUCUUGGAACACCGUCAGGUGGGCAGUUUGACUGGGGCGGUCGCCUCCUAAAAAGUAACGGAGGCGCUCAAAGGUUUCCUCAGCACGGUCGGAAAUCGUGCGAAGAGUGUAAAGGUAAAAGGAAGCUUGAUUGCAAGACAUACAGGUCGAGCAAGGACGAAAGUCGGACUUAGUGAUCCGGUGGUACCGCAUGGAAGGGCCAUCGCUCAACGGAUAAAAGCUACCCUGGGGAUAACAGGCUUAUCUCCCCCAAGAGUCCACAUCGACGGGGAGGUUUGGCACCUCGAUGUCGGCUCAUCACAUCCUGGGGCUGUAGUAGGUCCCAAGGGUUGGGCUGUUCGCCCAUUAAAGUGGUACGCGAGCUGGGUUCAGAACGUCGUGAGACAGUUCGGUCCCUAUCCGUCGCAGGCGUAGGAAAUUUGAGAAGACCUGUCCUUAGUACGAGAGGACCGGGAUGGACGUACCUCUGGUGUACCAGUUGUUCUGCCAAGGGCAUGGCUGGGUAGCUAUGUACGGAAUGGAUAAGCGCUGAAAGCAUCUAAGCGCGAAGCCAACUUCAAGAUAAGAUUUCCCACCGUAAGGGUAAGACCCCAGGAAGACUACCUGGUUGAUAGGUCGAAGGUGUAAGUGCAGUAAUGUAUUUAGCUUAUCGAUGCUAAUAGGUCGAGGACUUGACCAA